AGCUUGUUGGUGAGGUAAAGGCUCACCAAGGCGACGAUCCGUAGCUGGUCUGAGAGGACGACCAGCCACACUGGAACUGAGACACGGUCCAGACUCCUACGGGAGGCAGCAGUGGGGAAUUUUGGACAAUGGGGGCAACCCUGAUCCAGCCAUUCCGCGUGAGUGAAGAAGGCCUUCGGGUUGUAAAGCUCUUUCAGCAGGAACGAAACGGUGGCCACUAAUACUGGCUACUAAUGACGGUACCUGAAGAAGAAGCACCGGCUAACUACGUGCCAGCAGCCGCGGUAAUACGUAGGGUGCGAGCGUUAAUCGGAAUUACUGGGCGUAAAGCGUGCGCAGGCGGUUCCAUAGGACAGAUGUGAAAUCCCCGGGCUUAACCUGGGAACUGCGUUUGUGACUGUGGGACUCGAGUGUGGCAGAGGGGGGUGGAAUUCCACGUGUAGCAGUGAAAUGCGUAGAGAUGUGGAGGAACACCGAUGGCGAAGGCAGCCCCCUGGGUCAACACUGACGCUCAUGCACGAAAGCGUGGGGAGCAAACAGGAUUAGAUACCCUGGUAGUCCACGCCCUAAACGAUGCGAACUAGGUGUUGGGGAAGGAGACUUUCUUAGUACCGCAGCUAACGCGUGAA
Molecule: ribosomal RNA, 629 nt
Filed under: uncultured bacterium
Lineage: Bacteria
Description: bacterial SSU rRNA
Rfam family: Bacterial small subunit ribosomal RNA
Source: RNAcentral